AACGAACGCUGGCGGCAUGCCUAACACAUGCAAGUCGAACGAGACCUUCGGGUCUAGUGGCGCACGGGUGCGUAACGCGUGGGAACCUGCCCUUAGGUUCGGAAUAACUCCCCGAAAGGGGUGCUAAUACCGGAUAAUGUCUUCGGACCAAAGAUUUAUCGCCUUUGGAUGGGCCCGCGUUGGAUUAGCUAGUUGGUAGGGUAAAAGCCUACCAAGGCGACGAUCCAUAGCUGGUCUGAGAGGAUGAUCAGCCACACUGGGACUGAGACACGGCCCAGACUCCUACGGGAGGCAGCAGUGGGGAAUAUUGGACAAUGGGCGAAAGCCUGAUCAAGCAAUGCCGCGUGAGUGAUGAAGGCCUUAGGGUUGUAAAGCUCUUUUACCCGGGAUGAUAAUGACAGUACCGGGAGAAUAAGCUCCGGCUAACUCCGUGC
RNAcentral lists this ribosomal RNA (434 nucleotides) under uncultured bacterium. Its description in RNAcentral is "partial 16S ribosomal RNA". It matches the Rfam family "Bacterial small subunit ribosomal RNA", at positions 29 to 508 of the family's 1533-position model. The record is from RNAcentral.